AUUGAACGCUGGCGGCAGGCUUAACACAUGCAAGUCGAACGAGUGGCGAACGGGUGAGUAAUGUAUCGGAACGUGCCCAGUAGCGGGGGAUAACUACGCGAAAGCGUAGCUAAUACCGCGUACCAUAGGAUAAGCCCAAGUGGGAUUAGGUAGUUGGUGAGGUAAAGGCUCUCCAAGCCGACGAUCUCUAGCUGGUCUGAGAGGAUGACCAGCCACACUGGGACUGAGACACGGCCCAGACUCCUACGGGAGGCAGCAGUGGGGAAUAUUGCGCAAUGGGGGCAACCUGACGCAGCCAUGCCGCGUGAAUGAAGAAGGCCUUCGGGUUGUAAAGUUCUUUCGGUAGCGAGGCGUUAACUACAGAAGAAGCACCGGCUAACUCCGUGCCAGCAGCCGCGGUAAUUC
RNAcentral lists this ribosomal RNA (405 nucleotides) under uncultured bacterium. RNAcentral's name for it is "partial 16S ribosomal RNA". It matches the Rfam family "Bacterial small subunit ribosomal RNA", at positions 30 to 526 of the family's 1533-position model. The record is from RNAcentral.